This 92-nucleotide transfer RNA is filed under the name Lachnospiraceae bacterium. RNAcentral's name for it is "tRNA-Ser". It matches the Rfam family "tRNA". From Rfam's summary of the family: Transfer RNA (tRNA) molecules are approximately 80 nucleotides in length. The record is from RNAcentral. Lineage: Bacteria; Bacillati; Bacillota; Clostridia; Lachnospirales; Lachnospiraceae.
GGAAAGUUGGUAGAGUGGUUGAUUACGUCCGCCUUGAAAGCGGAAGGCCAGAUGAAAAUGGUUCGUGGGUUCAAAUCCCACACUUUCCUCCA